Molecule: small nuclear RNA, 102 nt
Organism: Grammomys surdaster
Lineage: Eukaryota; Metazoa; Chordata; Mammalia; Rodentia; Muridae
Source: RefSeq, a predicted model, not a curated record
GCACUUUGGUAGCACAUAUACUAAAACUGAAACAAUACAGAGAAGAUUAGCAUGGCCCAUACCCAAGGAUGGCACGUAAUCCAUGAAGCAUUCCAUAUUUUA